GGCCUUAUCGUCUAGAGGUUAGGACGGCAGGUUCUCAUCCUGCAAACCGGGGUUCGAUUCCCGUAGGGUCA
RNAcentral lists this transfer RNA (71 nucleotides) under Candidatus Roizmanbacteria bacterium. RNAcentral's name for it is "tRNA-Glu". It matches the Rfam family "tRNA". Rfam says of the family: Transfer RNA (tRNA) molecules are approximately 80 nucleotides in length. Their secondary structure includes four short double-helical elements and three loops (D, anti-codon, and T loops). Further hydrogen bonds mediate the characteristic L-shaped molecular structure. tRNAs have two regions of fundamental functional importance: the anti-codon, which is responsible for specific mRNA codon recognition, and the 3' end, to which the tRNAs corresponding amino acid is attached (by aminoacyl-tRNA synthetases). tRNAs cope with the degeneracy of the genetic code in two manners: having more than one tRNA (with a specific anti-codon) for a particular amino acid; and 'wobble' base-pairing, i.e. permitting non-standard base-pairing at the 3rd anti-codon position. Lineage: Bacteria; Candidatus Roizmaniibacteriota. The record is from RNAcentral.